ACAGCACAGUAUGCAAUACCAAACUCUUAAAUUUGAAUACAUUCUAAUGUCACGACAACAGCAGAUUCCACACAUUUUACGAGGUCUUUUUGGGUUGUAACGGGGCUUGGGUACGGUGGGAUAAACAAAAAAUGGAUAACAAAGGGUUUUGAACUCGGCAGUCAUGUUGUGUGAUUUUUCUUUCUCUUUUUCUCGUGCAUCACGUAUACUCUGGGGGUUAAUUUCACUCUUUUGACUCUUUUUCUACUCAAAUUUUUCGAGCAUUUUAUAGGUGUUAGAGUCUUAAGUCUCGGCAAGUGCAUUUUUUCUCUUUUUUUUUUCUUUUUUUUUUCUUUUUUUUUCUUUUCUUUUUUUUUUCUUUUUGGACAUACACAAUUCUUUUCUUUUUGUAUGAUCUCUUAUUAUGCACUUGCCUUA
Molecule: long non-coding RNA, 417 nt
Filed under: Lathyrus oleraceus (garden pea)
Lineage: Eukaryota; Viridiplantae; Streptophyta; Magnoliopsida; Fabales; Fabaceae
Description: Pisum sativum (pea) long non-coding RNA (PSAT_LNC002744)
Source: RNAcentral